Molecule: long non-coding RNA, 1362 nt
Filed under: Salmo trutta (river trout)
Lineage: Eukaryota; Metazoa; Chordata; Actinopteri; Salmoniformes; Salmonidae
Description: lncRNA (ENSSTUG00000015116.1)
Source: RNAcentral
AUGCAUGUUAACAUUAGAAGCCUCCUCCCUAAGUUUGUUUUAUUCACUGCUUUAGCACAAUCUGCCAACCCGGAUGUUCUAGCCGUGUCUGAAUCCUGGCUUAGGAAGACCACCAAAAACUCUGAAAUCUCCAUCCCUAACUACAACAUUGUCAGACAAGAUAGAACAGCCAAAGGGGGCGGUGUUGCAAUCUACUGCAGAGAUAGCCUGCAGAGUUCUGUCCUACUAUCCAGGUCUGUACCCAAACAAUUUGAACUUCUACUUUUAAAAAUCCACCUCUCUAAAAACAAGUCUCUCACCGUUGCCGCCUGCUAUAGACCACCCUCUGCCCCCAGCUGUGCUCUGGACACCAUAUGUGAACUGAUUGCCCCCCAUCUAUCUUCAGAGCUCGUGCUGCUAGGUGACCUAAACUGGGACAUGCUUAACACCCCAGCCAUCCUACAAUCUAAGCUUGAUGCCCUCAAUCUCACACAAAAUAUGAAUGAACCUACUAGGUACCACCCCAAAGCCGUAAACAUGGACACCCUCAUAGAUAUCAUCCUAACCAACUCGCCCUCUAAAUACACCUCUGCUGUUUUCAACCAAGAUCUCAGUGAUCACUGCCUCAUUGCCUGCAUCCGUAAUGGGUCAGCGGUCAAACGACCUCCACUCAUCACUGUCAAACACUCCUUGAAACACUUCAGCGAGCAGGCCUUUCUAAUCGACCUGGCCCGUGUAUCCUGGAAGCAUAUUGACCUUAUCCCUUCAGUAGAGGGUGCCUGGUUAUUUGUUUUAAAUGCCUUCCUCACCAUCUUAAAUAAGCAUGCCCCAUUCAAGAAAUUUAGAACAAGGAACAGAUAUAGCCCUUGGUUCUCUCCAGACCUGACUGCCCUUAACCAACACAAAAACAUCAUGUGGCGUUCUGCAUUAGCAUCGAACAGCCCCUGUGAUAUGCAACUUUUCAGGGAAGUUAGAAACCAAUAUAGACACACUGUUAGAAAAGCCAAGGCUAGCUUUUUCAAGCAGAAAUUUGCUUCCUGCAACACAAACUCAAAAAAGUUCUGGGACACUGUAAAGUCCUUGGAGAAUAAGAGCACCUCCUUCCAGCUGCCCACUGCACUGAGGAUAGGAAACUCUGUCACCACCGAUAAAUCCACUACAAUUGAGAAUUUCAAUAAGCAUUUUUAUACGGCUGGCCAUGCUUUCCACCUGGCUACCCCUACUCCGGUCAACAGCACUGCACCCCCCACAGCAACUCGCCCAAGCCUUCCCCAAUUCUCCUUCUCCCAAAUCCAGUCAGCUGAUGUUCUGAAAGAGCGGCAAAAUCUGGACCCCUACAAAUCAGCUGGGCUAGACAAUCUGGACCCUUUCUUUCUAAAAUGA